GAUGAAGAACGUAGCGAAAUGCGAUAAUUAAUAUGAAUUGCAGAAUUCAGUGAAUCAUCGAGUUUUUGAACGCACAUUGCGCCCUCUGGUAAUCCGGAGGGCAUGUCCGACCGAGCGUCACUAGCACCGCCCGAGCCCCCCCCAGCGAUGGGGGCGGCCCGGUGUUGGGGACCGCGGGGCCUCGCACGCCCCGCGCCCCCGAAAAGCAGCGGCGGCCCCAUCGCGGCAAGCCCCCCAGCGGAGUAGAACCUUACCUCGCCCGGGAGCGCCGCGCACUAGGCGGGCCCGGCCACCAGGAGGGGGCGUCAGAACCCCCCCCCGAACCCCCAAAACUCACCCGGUUGGCCUCGGGUCGGACAAGAUUACCCGCUGAACUUAAGCAUAUCAAUAAGCGGAGGA
Molecule: unclassified non-coding RNA, 399 nt
Filed under: soil metagenome
Description: partial contains 5.8S ribosomal RNA, internal transcribed spacer 2, and large subunit ribosomal RNA
Rfam family: 5.8S ribosomal RNA (bases 1-120)
Source: RNAcentral